GGCUGUAGUUUAAGAAAAAUAACAAGUUGCAAACUUGACGACAGGAAAGCCUCCUCAGCCAC
Molecule: transfer RNA, 62 nt
Filed under: Doriprismatica atromarginata
Lineage: Eukaryota; Metazoa; Mollusca; Gastropoda; Nudibranchia; Chromodorididae
Description: tRNA-Cys
Source: RNAcentral